Non-coding RNA from Lentinula guzmanii, 87 nucleotides. Lineage: Eukaryota; Fungi; Basidiomycota; Agaricomycetes; Agaricales; Omphalotaceae. The record is from the annotation of a GenBank genome assembly.
GGGCGUAUGGUCUAGAGGUAUGAUUCCUGCUUUGGGCCUUUGAAACUCUUAUGCAGGAGGUCCCCGGUUCAAUCCCGGGUGCGCCCC